AUUGAACGCUGGCGGCAUGCUUUACACAUGCAAGUCGAACGGUAACAGGCCUUCGGGUGCUGACGAGUGGCGAACGGGUGAGUAAUGCAUCGGAACGUGCCCAGAGGUGGGGGAUAACGCAGCGAAAGCUGUGCUAAUACCGCAUGUGAUCUGAGGAUGAAAGCGGGGGACCAGGCAGCAAUGUUUGGCCUCGCGCCUUUGGAGCGGCCGAUGUCAGAUUAGGUAGUUGGUGUGGUAAAGGCCUACCAAGCCGACGAUCUGUAGCUGGUCUGAGAGGACGACCAGCCACACUGGGACUGAGACACGGCCCAGACUCCUACGGGAGGCAGCAGUGGGGAAUUUUGGACAAUGGGCGCAAGCCUGAUCCAGCAAUGCCGCGUGCGGGAAGAAGGCCUUCGGGUUGUAAACCGCUUUUGUACGGAACGAAAAGGCUCUGGCUAAUACCUGGGGCUGAUGACGGUACCGUAAGAAUAAGCACCGGCUAACUACGUG
Molecule: ribosomal RNA, 492 nt
Filed under: uncultured bacterium
Lineage: Bacteria
Description: partial 16S ribosomal RNA
Rfam family: Bacterial small subunit ribosomal RNA
Source: RNAcentral